This 431-nucleotide ribosomal RNA is filed under the name uncultured bacterium. RNAcentral describes it as "bacterial SSU rRNA". It matches the Rfam family "Bacterial small subunit ribosomal RNA", at positions 355 to 777 of the family's 1533-position model. The record is from RNAcentral.
UGGGGAAUUUUGCGCAAUGGGGGCAACCCUGACGCAGCAACGCCGCGUGAGUGAUGAAGGCUUUCGGGUCGUAAAGCUCUGUCAAGAGAGACGAAGUGUAGAGAGGCUAAUACCCUUUUUACUUGACGGUACCUCUGAAGGAAGCACCGGCUAACUCCGUGCCAGCAGCCGCGGUAAUACGGAGGGUGCAAGCGUUGUUCGGAUUUAUUGGGCGUAAAGCGCGUGUAGGCGGUUUGUUAAGUCUGAUGUGAAAGCCCCGGGCUCAACCUGGGAAGUGCAUUGGAAACUGGCAGACUUGAAUACGGGAGAGGGUAGUGGAAUUCCUGGUGUAGGAGUGAAAUCCGUAGAUAUCAGGAGGAACACCGGUGGCGAAGGCGGCUGCCUGGACCGAUAUUGACGCUGAGACGCGAAAGCGUGGGGAGCAAACAGGA